RNAcentral lists this ribosomal RNA (445 nucleotides) under uncultured bacterium. Its description in RNAcentral is "partial 16S ribosomal RNA". It matches the Rfam family "Bacterial small subunit ribosomal RNA", at positions 354 to 796 of the family's 1533-position model. The record is from RNAcentral.
GUGAGGAAUAUUGCGCAAUGGAGGCAACUCUGACGCAGCCAUGCCGCGUGCAGGAAGAAGGCGCUACGCGUUGUAAACUGCUUUUAACCGGGAAGAAACCCCAGGACGUGUCCUGGGUUGACGGUACCGGAGGAAUAAGCACCGGCUAACUUCGUGCCAGCAGCCGCGGUAAUACGAAGGGUGCAAGCGUUAUCCGGAUUCAUUGGGUUUAAAGGGUGCGUAGGCGGAGCGUUAAGUCAGUGGUGAAAUCCUGCAGCUUAACUGUAGACUUGCCAUUGAUACUGGCGCUCUUGAGUGCGCUUGAAGUGGGCGGAAUGUGCCGUGUAGCGGUGAAAUGCUUAGAUAUGGCACAGAACACCAAUUGCGAAGGCAGCUCACUAAGGCGAUACUGACGCUGAGGCACGAAAGCGUGGGGAUCGAACAGGAAUAGAUACCCUUGUAGUCC